Molecule: long non-coding RNA, 3170 nt
Organism: Athalia rosae (coleseed sawfly)
Lineage: Eukaryota; Metazoa; Arthropoda; Insecta; Hymenoptera; Athaliidae
Exons: 3
Source: RefSeq, a predicted model, not a curated record
AUUAGCUGCGGUACGAGAAGCCACGCGGAUUUAAUUUUACAUGAUCAAAUUUUUCGCGUGGUGUAAUUUAAAUUACCGCACUUGUACGAAACUGUCGUUGGAUUUGUCAUUUGCCAAAGUUGAAAUUCAGAGCGAGCGGACCGAUAUCGGAAAACUCUUCGAACGACUCGAGAGAAAGGAAAACUAAAUAAAGAAAUCGAAAAACGACGGAUGUGUCAGAUCCCAAUAUUCGCAGACUAUUCAGAAUGCGGGCGGAGCGAAAGCUGGCGCAAGUUGCCGGAAUGAAAAAAAAAAACAAAAAAAAAGGAAAAAUAAAAAAGUAGCACGAAUUGAGUGUACACGGUAUACAUGCGCAGAUCGUGGGUUAAAUAUAAAAAUUCAAGAGCGAGGUCCAGCUAUCUCCCAUUUCGGACUAGAUGAGAAAAUUUCACCUACGUACUUAUUCCAGCUGUGGAGAAAAAAAUAUUCCCUCCGCGCCCCAGCGUUCCAGAUGAGAUAAACCCAUUAUUUUCAGGUCUCUCCCCCACCUCCCCUUACGCCCCCAAAUUUCGAUACGAUCCAGCCCGAUCAAACUCCAACCUGAUUUUUGGUCGUUUAUGAAAUUAAAUUCACCCCUGCCAUCCAGAGAUUUUAGCACGCGGUGUGAAAUUUUAUUUUCUUGGUAGAUUUAAUUAAAACGCGAUACAACGAUUUUAUCAAUCGAGUAAUCAAGGGAAAUUAACAUUCCACAUAAUUUCUUCAUUUCUCUAAUUCGCGUAUAACUUUUACGCUGGGAUUGAUUACUCGAGGUGAGGGAGGACGAGGGAGGAGGUUCAAUCAUUCUACCUACACCCCGGAUUCGUGCGCUGACAUGUGCCGUCCACGAUAUAACGAUAGGCAUAAUAAAAGUUUUUAGAUGGUUUCAGAAAAGUAUGAAUAAUACCGUGCGGUGUAUACGCAAAGGUCACAGUUCGCAUGAAUGAACCUUCCCUACCUACCUACCUACCUACCUACCUUGUCCGGGGUACGCGUUGGUCGCCGUGACCGUAGCUCAGGGUAUUUUAGCGAGCCGGGAAAAUUCAUUGAUUUUUCCACCACACUCCAAACGCACCGGAAUUCAUGUAUAUCUAUGUCGUACGUAUGAAAGGAACGUUACCGCCGGGUUGAUGAUGAAAAUUUUUAUUUUUUUUUUGUUUUUCUUUCAUACCAACGCAGCACGUGGCGAGGAAUGAAAAUUUAUCUUUGACGUUUUAAUCUACUCCGUAUGAUUUAGCGUAGAUUUUUUUCGCUCAGUUUAUGCGACCUGAAAUUAAUUGAAAAAAAAAAAACCGAAGAAACGGUUGCUAAUUUCUGAUUUCGGACUCUAGAUCGAAAAGUCUGCGAAAAUGGAAUAAAAUGGAGAUGGAAAAUCGUCACCUCGUUGUACGGAAAAUUUCAUGCUUUUAGGAAACGGUGCGAAGCGACCCAAUCGGGCUUCCGUGUGACAUCAGAUUGUAGUCCCGAAGCCCCUGGUCGCCGGUCGGCGGUCGGCUUUAAAGUUACGUCACUUUGACCUUCAACCCAGUUUCGUGGGUUGGGUUACCGAUCCCGCAACAUGCCGGACGAUAUCUGCUGCAUGACGGGUGAAAAGUUCGCAGGACCCAACCCGGCCACACGUCACGGAGGAACAAGAGCGGAGAAACGCGAGGCUGCUUUUUAUCGGGUGACUCGUCGCGUCUCGCCCCGUACCGUAAGGUUCGCGCGGCUAAUCGUGAAACGAGGGACAAAAUACAGGUCAUAAAACAGGGCCGGAAAUUGCCACAGGAUGAAACAUCGGCAUGCGAUGUCGAAUCUGUAAUGUAACGCGAUUUUUCUCCGCGUAUAUUUGUAUUUUCCGAGGACGAUAAUGACGCGCGGUACAACCCAUUGAACAAAGUAUCAUUGAACAAGGUUUGGUUAAAUGUUUAUAGCGGGUAGCCGCAAGGCGAUUCUUGAGAGGAACGAUUCUCUUGCAAUCUUUGCAGAAAUUGUGGUUUUCUCAAUAAAUUUACCACCGCCUCAUUUUCCGCCCGUAUACACGUACGCGUCAUACGUUAUACGCUCAACGCUGGCAAAAUUCCCAUUCGAUGUCGUUAUAAAUACCGUACGGGGGCAGCGCGCUGCCGGUUAACUUAUAAGAAUAAUCGUUCGAAUAACGUAUAUACCAUACAAUAAAUAUGGUAUAACUCUACGUACGCAUAGACAUGGGACCAAAAAAACUUAUGUGCGGAAGUUGUCGACGCUAAAUUUAUCAGUGUAUAUCCUACCCGUGCUACGGUAACCCACGCCCACGACUACCCUUGAUUUCGGUUGUUAGGGUCCGAUGGGAGGUGAAACACACAUACUCUACCAAAAAACACACACACAAAAUGAUUCACAUUGUCACAAUCUCCCGGAGUAAUUUUUUCUUUCCACAGGUGCGUAUCUAAUUGCGGAUGUAUUCGAUCGUUCGACAUGGGACGUAAUUGGUUCGUUGUAUCGUUAUCGAGGUGAUAAAAUCAUGCGAAAUUUUUUUCAUUCUCUCGGUCACAUUUUAACUGGAAAAUAAACGCAUGAUCUAGCGAAGUCUAGCUGCAGUAUAACUAGGUACAUACGAGUAUGUACGGCGGUCGAAGAUGGAGAAACUAAACUGGUAGUCUGGGUAUCUACUUAGGUAUACUUGUGCGAAAAAUCAUACACGAUAUAAAUCAACCGAUCCACGAUCUCAACUGCGAUAAUGACGAUGAAAAAUUAAAGAUGGAAUUACUGCCAAUCUACCGUACACGAAUUUCAUUCGGUUACAGAGCCUGGGAAAAUUGCGAGGACAUACAUAUUCGCUCCGGUUUUCGUACGUAUAUGUAUACAGAGUACACGCGGCAGCGCGAGACGCAGACGAAUGACAAGGCGAUUGAUGAUCUUCAGCUGUAUGGCGUACGAUGGAAAUACGCGAGUACAUUGAUCCGCGUCCUUUGAAGCUAUCCGCGCGGAUACAUUCGAAAAAUAAAAAUUGAAAAAAAUUUCAAGACAAAAAAAAAAGAAGGAAAACGAACACAGAUACGUGUGAGCCGGUGUUUUUAUUUAUAACAUUUAAAUUUAUACAUGUAUACGUAUGUAACAAUAUAUACACGGGUUAUAUACAAUGCGUGUACGUGUAGAGUGUGUGCAACCGCGUUAGUUCUACACGAAGAACGAUU